ACAUUCACCACCGCGUGACGCGGCGCCGGGUCGCCGCCGCAGAUUCGACACAAAACCCGGAAGGACCCCGCCGAAGGUUUUCUCCGGUUCGGGAGAGAGACGGAGUCCCGCUCUGUCACGCAGGCUGCCAGGCUGGCGUACAGUGGCGCAAUCUCAGCUCGCUGCAACCUCCACCUCCUGGGUUCAAGCGAUUUUCUUGCCUCUGCCUCCUGAGUAGCUGGGAUUACUGGCACACACCACCAUGCACAGGGAGAUAUGAGACAUCAAUCAAUAUAUGUAAGAUGUACAUCAGUUUCGUCUGGAAAGAUGGGACAACAUGAAGCAGGGAGGGGGCUCCCUGGUGACAGGGAAUUUUCUUGUGGGCAAAUUGUGAGGGAGUUCCUUGUUCAAAAUGCCAAGAACCUGGAUGACUCAUAGUCAAGACCCUCCACCAGUAACAUAUAUUGGCGAGCCAGCCAGGAGCUUGGAACCCUCGGUGGACAGUGCCUAAGCACAGAGGCAACCACAGGUUUCUAACAGGGCCACUCUCUGGUGAAACUGAAAGGUUUCUGUGUGAAAGUGCCUGACCACCACUGCCCAAUUCAGACCACUACAGGAAACACUCCAUUUAUUCCACCUGACUUCCCACUUGGCUGCAUCCUCAACCAUUGAAAUGAAUUUGACCCUGAUAAUCUAAGGAGGAAACAUUUGAUAUUCUUUUGCAAUAAUACUUGGCCCCAGUAUUGUUUGGAAUCUGGAGUUUGCUGUUGAAUGGGAAAGCAGGAUGACGUUGCAUGUAUCCAGGCUUUGGUGCUGCUGUCCUAAGAAGGGUCAGGCCUAGUCAGCAUAUGGUGCUCUCCUUUGGUGCUAUUUGGCUCCAGUGUCUUUGGAGUCUGAGGAGGUUUGGCCUUUAAAAAUCAAACUGCCACCGGAACUGCUUUAAAAAUGUUUGGUUCACAGCCUUCACUGGAUUACCUAUUGGAGCAAACAAAGUGUAACCAUGUAAAACCUGUGAGCUUGUAUUGAUAUCUCAUGGCUAGAGUUCCAAGCGAAUGGGUCUCAUGAGAUCUGAUGGUUUUGAAAAUGGGAGUUGCCCUGCACAAGCUCUCCUUUUGCCUGCUGCCAUCCACAUAAGAUGUGAUUUGCUCUUCCUUGCCUUCCACCAUGAUUGUGAGGCCUUCCCAGCAUGUGGAAAUGGUCCAGCCUGCAAUAACUGAAGCCCCCAGACCUGGAACCUGAAGAUCCCAUCAGCCACUAAACCUGUGAACCUGUAGAAGACCUGAAGUACCUGUUUAAAAGGCAGCCAAAAGAUAAGUAAAUUCCUAUCAACUUUCCUUGGUGUCCUUCUUGUAUAUUUACUGUAAGCUGGAUAUAAUAGUAGCCAUUUUUAUAUUUUUACAAUUUAAUUGCUUUCUUCCAAAUGGAUUGAAUCACUUCUUUUAAAGUGUUUUAAUUAAUUUUUAUCUAUAGAACAAAAUAACAAAUAAGUAUUUUUUUUUUAUACCAUAAUGGUCACCCACAGCCUGUGUAUACUAAGACCAUGCAUACUGAUAAUCAGCUUUAUUUUACAAAAGAGUUUCGCUUUACCCCUCUGGUAAUUAAUGGAUUCUGGGUAUUUAUUAAAAACUUUAACACAAAGACUGUUAAAUACCACCAGUCCAGCUUUGGCAAGGCACUGUUGGCUUUGUUUAUCUCCAUCAUCAUCCAAACAGACUACCAAUCCUGAUCCCAGCCCAAUCUUGGGCCCUUGAAAAAAUAACUUAACAUCCUAACUACAAGGGAGAAACUCCUUUCAAAUUAAUGAACCUGGCUGACUUAUAUAGCCUUAAAAUUAUGGAAAUGACAAGGGUUACAAUGUCAGAAUGAGCAGUAAACCUUCCCCAGUCCUAUCAGAGCAAACUUUCUGGGGUUGCAUCCCCUCAGAAACCCAUUUGGGGCCCAAUCUCAAUGCACAUAUCAGUGCGCAAAGCACUAAAAUUCCAGGCAACACUUUGUAUUGAGAGAAGCCAAAAUUUUGGUCCCGCCCUGGGACAUCUAAAGUCACCAAUGUAACUACACCAUACAGAUUAAACCCUCACAUGAUCAUGUAAGCUAUGCAGUUACCCAAGCUGCAUCAUUUAGAAAACCUGUACAGUUUUUAUGGAAACCAUCCCUAGUCAAGGACACUUUAAAUAUAUAGUCUAAAUACCGUUAAGGUAGGCCCACUAGCUGUGUUCACAUUUUCCCUUGGCCACCUUACCAGGGACUUUAAUAACUUGGGAAAGUGAAAACAACAAGCUAACCCACAUGUUCACCAUAGAAAACAAUUUUGUCUUGAAAAACAAGGACUCUUUUUCCCGUGUGGGACCAGUUCCUACUUAUGUUUUACCAGCCAAUUGGACUGGAACCUAUACAGUUGUUUAUUUAGCCCCCGAAAUUAAUAUAGCUCCCAACAACCAAUCCUUCAUUAUACUUUUAACUGCAACCACCAGACACAAAUGAGCCAUCCAACUGAUACCACUUUCGGUAGAGCUAGGAAUAACAGCAGGAGUAGGAAUGAGAGUUAGCAGCCUUGCAGUUUCCCUAUCCUAUUACCAAUGCUUGUCCAAGGAUUUUAUGGAAAGCUUAGGUGACAUUGCCCAAAAGUAUCAUCACCUUACAAAAUCAGAUAGAGUCUUUGGCAGUGGUGGCUUUGUAAAAUAGAAGGGGACUGGAUCUCCUAAAUGCUGAAGAAGGUGGCUUAUGUCUUUUUCCUAGAGGAAGAAUGCUGUUUUUAUGUCAACCAAACAGGAUUAGUAAGGGAUGCCACCCAAAAACUAGCCGAUUGGUACCAUAAGAUAUGACAACAGCUGUCUGAGUCAUGGGGCGCCUAGUCAAAAUGCUAAUUUGGGGCUCACAUCUCCUUCCUCUGGCCAGUCCACUAUUAAUUAUUAUACUUGCCUUGGCUUUUGGAUCAUGUUUGUUAAAUCUUUUAACCAGAUUUAUUUCUUCUUGCCUAGAGACCAUUAUGAUAAUGCAGCAGGGCCACCAGUCAGUUUCAGAUAAUGAUGUCAACCCCGGCCACCAAGAAGUAACCUUGUCUCCACUAGACAGAGCAGGGUGAGAGUUCUGUAAUCCCCAGUAGGUAGGGACUGUGCCCCAAGUCAGCAUGAAGUAGUUAUGGAAGAAAGACCAUGGGUCCCUCUGCCUCCCAGAAAGAUUUAUGGGGAUCACAUCUCUCAGGGGAAAAUGAGGCAGGAGAAUAGGGUCUGGAGACAGGGAACCUAAAGCUGAUUUGUGCUGAGUUUCUAGGAUUGAAUGAAAAGGAAAACCCCACCUCUCCACACCCAAGUAACAAAAGGAUCAGAGGCUACUCCCUUUGCACUGCAUUGCAGAUAAAAAAUGGAAAGUACCUCAGAUUGGUCCCCUCCCACAACCAAUCAGACUGGCCAUGGGCUACUCCUUCGUUUACAUAGGGUGUAACCAAGUAACCAAUGGGAAACCUCUAGCGGGUAUGUAAACCCCAGAAAAUUCUGUAACCAGUGCUCUUGAGCUGCUUGCUGGAGCCUACUCCCACUUUGUGAAGUGUACUUUCAUUUCAAUAAAUUUGUGCUUUCAUUGCUUCAUUCCUUCGUUGCUUUGUGUGUUUUGUCCAAUUCUUUGUUCAAAACACCAAGAACCUGGAUGACUCAUAGUCAAGAUCCUCUACCAGUAACACUUGAACUUUCUGGUUUGUCCUGAACAUCCCUCUUUCUUAAACAACCAGUCGUUUUAUUCUAGGCCAAAAUUUUACCAUACAAGAAUAUUUCUCAUAUACAAUUAUCUUCCUUCUAACUUUUCUUGCCAGAAAUACCUUUUAUAACUUUCUUUACAUUGCUUUUAUUUAACGAUUACUUUUACCUUGUUUCAUAAGUUUUAAAUAGCCUUGAAUUAGAUAAAAAAUUAUUUUCCUUUAAAUAAGAACACAUUUCUUUUUUUAGAAAAAUAUUUUUCUGUAAUUUUUUUUUUUUCUUGAGACAGAGUCUUGCUCUGUCACCCAGGCUGGAGUGCAGUGGCACAAUCUUGGCUCACUGCAAGUUCUGCCUCCCGGGUUCACGCCAUCCUCCUGCCUCAGCCUCCAGGGUAGCUGGGACUAGAGGUGCACACCACCACGCCUGGCUAAUUUUUUGUAUUUUUAGUAGAGACGGGGUUUCACUGUGUUAGCCAGGAUGAUCUCGAUCUCCUGACUAUGAUCUGUCUGCCUCAGCCUCCCAAAGUGCUGGGAUUACAGGUGUGAGCCACUGCACCUGGCCUAAUAUUUUAAAUUGGAAAUGACCCAGAUGUUUAAUGAGUACCUAUUAUUUAACUUAAUAUAAUUUUAGAUUCUAAAUUAUAUAACAAGUUUAAUCACAAGCAUUUAUUCCAUUACAUUUACCUAAUUAAUUUUUUUAAUAGUUU
Molecule: long non-coding RNA, 4374 nt
Filed under: Homo sapiens (human)
Lineage: Eukaryota; Metazoa; Chordata; Mammalia; Primates; Hominidae
Description: PREDICTED lncRNA (TCONS_00243042)
Source: RNAcentral